Gossypium arboreum is the source of this 1251-nucleotide long non-coding RNA. RefSeq lists it as uncharacterized. Lineage: Eukaryota; Viridiplantae; Streptophyta; Magnoliopsida; Malvales; Malvaceae. The transcript has 2 exons. The record is from RefSeq and is a predicted model, not a curated record.
GGUUGUGGUGAUAGGAUCAAUUGUGGUUAGAGCCAAAAGAAUGAAAUCAAGUAGGAUCUCAUCUUCAUGUCUUGCCAAGUGAGGUGGUAGUAUACUUGUGUUUGGUUGAAGGAUAAGAUGUGGAGGAAGAGUGAUUUGGAAGGCACGCAAUGGACAAUAUAUGAAUCUGCUUUCACUUCCCCACCCACUGUGCUUCAAGUUAAAAAACAGGACACUUGAGUUGGCGCUGCAUUUGGAGCAUUAGGAAGUCGAUUAAUAAUAAAGACAAGAAGAUGAAGAUGAAGAAGACCCAAAGUUUCAAAUGGAGAUGUGUCUUUAGGUGUUUAUCAGGAAGCAAGAAAAUGUGUAUUCCUUGUUUGUUUUUUAGUUUUUCCAAAUAUCAAGGCUUUACAGCUCAGGUACUUACAGUUUCAUGUGCUUCUCCUUUCCUUGGUGAAUGUGCCCCCCCUCUCAACCUCCCUCAUUAUUGCUCAACUAUUGCAUUUUCUUUGCUUUUAUUGGGGCAAUAGAAACAUACGAAAAUCCGAGAAGAAUGAUGAUGAAUUUUAAAAGAGGAAACUAAAAUGGGUUGUGCUGUGUUUGAUUUUCUGGAUCCAAGUAUUGAAGUUUUUUUUUCUUCCAUCAGUUAUUGCAAACAAUAAAGAUGAAAAUUUUGAAGUUAGACUCUUAAUGAUGCUUUUAGUUCCGUCCAGACUAUCGAGUGUGAGUUUGUGAGGAAGAGAAAACUGAAAGAAAGCAUCAAGGAAUUAUCAAUCAAUAUCUAUGGUGGAAAAGGCAAGUGCCACCUUUUUUUUUUUUGGUGGUUACCAAAUUGUGCAAAAUGUCAAAAGAUGGCGAUGCUUCUUUUCAAAAAAUUUUUUUAAAGAGAACUUUCAUUUCUGCUUGCCUUAUUUUAAGCUCAGGGCUGAGCAUUUCAGAUAUUAACGCGCACUUGAAAGUUGGAUCGAACCAACCAGAACCAAAUUCCGUUGACUGUCAUUCCUAUUAUAACAUUAUGAAGACAUGAGGCCAAGCGCAAACCCAGGACAACAUGACCAAAGCAUAAUUGAAUUUUAUAUCAAUUUUCUUGUAAUUUUGGGACAUAAUUUGUUUUUACCCACAUCUACCAGAAUCUAGAAAUAAUAAUAAAUCUGUUUUUGUAAUUUUCUGUUUUGAUAACAAAAAAGCUAAAGGGUUGUACAUCUAACUACCACGCACAAACCAAACACAGGAAAAGCUUGUCAGAUCCAAUUCGCUCCGCCCUCCCCGAAA